This 77-nucleotide transfer RNA is filed under the name Mycolicibacterium canariasense. RNAcentral's name for it is "tRNA-Asp". It matches the Rfam family "tRNA". Rfam says of the family: Transfer RNA (tRNA) molecules are approximately 80 nucleotides in length. Their secondary structure includes four short double-helical elements and three loops (D, anti-codon, and T loops). RNAcentral also lists the same sequence under 1 other name. The record is from RNAcentral. Lineage: Bacteria; Bacillati; Actinomycetota; Actinomycetes; Mycobacteriales; Mycobacteriaceae.
GGCUGUGUGGAGGAGCUGGAGUCCUCGCCGCCCUGUCACGGCGGAGAUCGCGGGUUCAAGUCCCGUCACGGUCGCAA